RNAcentral lists this microRNA (22 nucleotides) under Aedes aegypti (yellow fever mosquito). Its description in RNAcentral is "aae-miR-13-5p". Its record names the gene aae-miR-13-5p. The record is from miRBase by way of RNAcentral. Lineage: Eukaryota; Metazoa; Arthropoda; Insecta; Diptera; Culicidae.
UCGUAAAAAUGGUUGUGCUGUG